ACCUGCAGAAGUUCUUUGAAUAUGAUAUUGAAGCUAUCAAGGAGGCCAAUAACCCGCAGGUG
This 62-nucleotide transfer RNA is filed under the name Idotea baltica. RNAcentral's name for it is "tRNA-Phe". The record is from RNAcentral. Lineage: Eukaryota; Metazoa; Arthropoda; Malacostraca; Isopoda; Idoteidae.